RNAcentral lists this transfer RNA (89 nucleotides) under Pseudomonas syringae pv. actinidiae. Its description in RNAcentral is "tRNA-Ser". It matches the Rfam family "tRNA". From Rfam's summary of the family: Transfer RNA (tRNA) molecules are approximately 80 nucleotides in length. Lineage: Bacteria; Pseudomonadati; Pseudomonadota; Gammaproteobacteria; Pseudomonadales; Pseudomonadaceae. The record is from RNAcentral.
GGAAAGAUGCUUGAGAGGCCAAAAAGGCUUGAUUGGAAAUCAAGAGGUCCGCAAGGGCCACAUGGGUUCGACUCCCAUUCUUUCCGCCA